Long non-coding RNA from Phyllostomus hastatus (greater spear-nosed bat), 2911 nucleotides. RefSeq lists it as uncharacterized. The record is from RefSeq and is a predicted model, not a curated record. Lineage: Eukaryota; Metazoa; Chordata; Mammalia; Chiroptera; Phyllostomidae. The transcript has 2 exons.
AUUUCAGAUGAAUGAUAAAAAGGUGUAACAUACCACUCAUUAACAUAAAAAUACACUUUCUCCUCUAGCAUUUCUACUAAAAAAAAUCCCAAUAAUUACAAACAAGGCUUAAGCUAGAAUAAACUGUAAUUACUCAAUAAAAAUCUACAGUUGAGAUAAUCUAGAGAGUAGGGUAACUUCCCUAGGGCACUGAAGUCUCUCCAGAUAAAUAACUUAGCUUAUUUUCCCCCUUGCUCUUUUCCAAUUCAACCUACAUCUAACACCUCCAAUGGGCAGGCACCUGUGCUAGGGCCUCGUAAGAUUCUGAUACAUAAGGAAAGAUAACGUCAGCACACAGAAUACAGAAACGUGCCAAGUAACAAAGCUGGAAGCAAUUUUUCACUGCUACUCGAUCCAGCAACUGAUCCGGACGUCCUUUUCAGCAUCUGCGUCGGUGGGACUGAGGACCCUCACAGUGCGAGCAUGUCCCUUCCACAGGGGACAUGCGUCUGACCUCCGGAAUGAUCCCCAGAAGUCAUCCUCACAAAGGUCACAACAACGCUGAGGAACACUCCACUUCCACCCCUUUUGUCAUCUAAGCACUCUGCUGUUGGUGCAUUACUGCUGUUUGACGAAAACCCGAUUCUCUCUCUGUGUGCCAGGAAGAAGGUGCAGCCAGCAUAAACCCACAGAGGUUUAUUUACUCUUCUUGUAAGAUAUGGAAGGCACCAUCAUAUAAGGCCACAUUUCUCAAAGUGUGGUGUCAGCCAGUUGCUUCAGCGGAACCCAGGAACUGUCAGAAAGGCAAACUCUCGGCCCCAGCCCACAAGCCCCGGUGACCGCAGGGUCCCCCUCCAAAUGCACACGUGGGGGGCCCGAGCCCCAGCGUGGUGGGGUCUGCAGGUGGGGCCUUCAGGAGGGCUGGCUCCGAAGACGGGGUCAGAACCCUCACAGAGGAAGGCGAUGCCGAGUCCUCUCGUUCUCCGCCCCGUGAGCACACAGCCAGAGGCAGUCGUGCGCCGGCCAGGGAGAGCCCUGACCGGAAACCCGCGCCUUGGUCCUGGACUCCUCCACCUCCAGAACCGUGAGGAGGAAGAAACGUCUGUUUCUCCAGCCAGCCAGGCGACGGUGUUUCCUUCCAGCAGGCCCAGGAGACGAAGGUGCUCGCUCACACGUCCCCUCUGCUGUGGGAACCCCACCCGGACCCGCGUUCAGAAUGCCGUUCCUGGCCUCACAGAAAGAACAUGUGUGGCCAGAGCACAGAAAGGAGUGGACAAGUGUGAAAAUUAAGAAUUUAAAAAUGUAUGGAUCUAGACAUUUCCAUCACUACCUAAGGAACACGGCUUCAUUUAAUCUCCUAUUAAUAGAUUUAGAACCUGGGAUUGUUCUCACCACCUGUGAUAUGGCAGAGGAGAUGGGGGGGUCACAUCAGAAGGGUGUUUUAUACGGGUUAGGGGCCUCCACUGCUCAGGCUGACCCAACCAGACAGGUCUCCAGCAGGCUCUCGGCCCCCUUCCCCAGCGGCCAGGCAUACUGCUGUCUGCGUCCCAAAGUCUCAGGCUCAGCACCAGUGUCGUUUCUGUGCCUGUCUCGUCACCCAGCCCUGGCAAUCCGGGAGGGCAGGGCGCUCCUCUCCCCUGCACCUAGAAGGGCGCAGGCUUAAAGCAGGAACCAGUGUGUGUUGAAGUGGAGCCACCGUGCUGAGUACCAGUGACAGUCUCUGUCCAAUCUUGCAGCUUUUCUGUAAAUCUUAAAUCAUCUGAAAAUGUUUUUUUAAAGGCAUCAGUAGCAAUUAACCGCAAUAAACAGCAAUAAACACAACUGUCUCACAUGGCGCGCCAGAAGACACUAACUACUAGAGAGCCCUGCCUCAGUAACGUUCAGACGUGCCAGCAGGACUUUGUAACUUCACUUGGAGAAAACUUGAAAAGAAUGACACCUGAGACUUGAAACGUGGCGUUAAUUUUGGUCAAAUUAUUUGAUCUGGUUCUCAUUCGGCAAAAAAAUGAACAGCAAUCGCUCCAAGGCUGAUGUGCUAACUGAAAUACAUAGUGUGUGUCUGAUGAGCUCUUCUAAUGGUGCUCUAACCCACACACGUGAGUGCCCUUCCCUGUAGAGACUGCGUUCCGACGGGAUAACGCCCCACCGUCGACCACGUGCACACAGUAAGGGGACCCGCCGACAAGGGCGUCAAGUCACACCUCAAUCACUGCGUAGGGCUGUGAUCACCUACAAAGCAGAAAAAUCCCACGUGUGUUUAUGGACGUCCACCCGCCAACAUGUCCUAUCCCAGAGCUCCCAAUGGAAUAAACGGGCUGUUCCAAGCUGCACGCAGCCGACAGGGGUCAGCAGCGCAGGCACCCGGCUCCCCUAGACUGCAGUCCCGAACGCGGCCGGCGCUCAGGACCAGCUGGCGGGAGGGGCCGUGGCGCGCGCACGCAGGGACCGGCAGCACCGCCGGGACAGAGGCGCGCGGCAGCCCGCACUGCCCCUCCAGGCUGGGGGCGGCGAGCCCCGAGAGGCCGCGGCCCACCCGGCCUCCGUCGCGGAAGUAGACAAGGGCGGCGGCGGCACAGUACGUGCGGCAGGGAGACCGAGUGGGCGGCGGCUAAGGAAACCGCCACCCAGACUGCGACCGACACCUGGGCGGCCCCGCGCUGGGGCGUAUUUGUGUCACUCUCGGAGCGACCGGGCGUCCCACGCCUGCCUACGGUGACCGCGUGCCACGAACACAGCCACCUACACCGGAGUUUCAGGUCCGAGUUCUUCCUGAACGCCGUUUGGUGAAUUUCCACGUGGGCGGUGAAACGAUUUAAAACUUCGCAUUUUCCGUUACAGUCAAAGGCAUAAUUUCGAUGACAUCUCUUCUCAUCCUGAAUAAGAAAUCACCCAGGCAUGGAGCUUUUAAAUAUAAUUGUUGCACGUGACGACA